Molecule: ribosomal RNA, 253 nt
Filed under: uncultured bacterium
Lineage: Bacteria
Description: partial 16S ribosomal RNA
Rfam family: Bacterial small subunit ribosomal RNA
Source: RNAcentral
UACGUAGGUGGCGAGCGUUGUCCGGAUUUACUGGGCGUAAAGAGCGCGCAGGCGGUCGUUCAAGUCGCGUGUGAAAGCCCCCGGCUCAACUGGGGAGGGUCACGCGAUACUGAUCGACUCGAAGGCAGGAGAGGGAAGUGGAAUUCCCGGUGUAGUGGUGAAAUGCGUAGAUAUCAGGAGGAACACCGGCGGUGUAGACGGCUUUCUGGACCGUAGCUGACGCUGAGACACGAAAGCGUGGGUAGCAAACAGG